This 937-nucleotide long non-coding RNA is filed under the name Carica papaya (papaya). RNAcentral describes it as "long non-coding RNA (CPAP_LNC004712)". Lineage: Eukaryota; Viridiplantae; Streptophyta; Magnoliopsida; Brassicales; Caricaceae. The record is from RNAcentral.
CCUCAGCUUAUACUCUCAUACCCUUAUCCCAUACUUGUCCAAAAUAGUCUUCCUCAUAAGCAAUGUUCCCAUAAACUCUAAUCCACAACAGCUCAUAAGAAUGGAAAGAUAGUUCACCAAAUAGCGCAUAUUUACACCAAAAAUCCACACCAGUUAUUAGCCCUUGGAAGAUAAAGUUGGAAUCUCCUAGAUCGGUAGUAUUUCUUGGUCGCUGCAGUUCAACUAACACGUUAAUAAACUAAAUCUUAAACUUAUUGAGUCAAAUAUCAUAAUUUAAGAACUAUCAACCGAUAACAUACCCAUAAAGUGGUGAGUUCUAUAUUAUUAAUGAAGUUCUACCUCAUCAACUUCAAAUGCAAUGCUAAGACUUGAUUUAUAAAAUACCGAAUUAUUGGUAGUUAAAUUACUUCUUUGAUUCGAACGCGAUAUGAGAGAAUACAAGGUACUCUGAUAGAUCCAACCUCCAGAUGGAGGUAGUUAAAUUGCUAUUAAAAAAUAGCACAUGGAUACCUAAUAUGUUAAAAAAUCUAGUUAAAUUUUGAAUAUAGUUUUCCAAUAUUUUCCAAUGAGCUACACAUACAUAUCUAUAUAAAUUUAUGUAUGUAUAUUAUAUUGCGUGCGAAAAAGAGAAACUACCUAAUCCAAACAGCCAAUAGUUGUUCAAAUGUUUGACUCAGUUGGCCUACUCUUUCCCUUUCGUCACACUAUUUUGAACUCAAGCUCCGAUUCAAAACUUGACAAAAACAUAAAAAGGAAAGAAAAAAACCAGUUCGAAUAAUUUUGACCUUUUCCAAUCGCAGUUGAGUGCUAACGGAGACUCCGAAAAUGGCGAAUUCGAGAAGAAGCAACCAUGUCGUUCAUCCAGUCGAUAUGGAAGCUCCUCCUCAUCCUCCUGCGGAAAUCAAGCAAUUUAAGAAAUGGAUGUGUUGGUUAAUAC